RNAcentral lists this unclassified non-coding RNA (310 nucleotides) under Hevea brasiliensis (rubber tree). The record is from RNAcentral. Lineage: Eukaryota; Viridiplantae; Streptophyta; Magnoliopsida; Malpighiales; Euphorbiaceae.
UUGUUAUCCUUCUAUCUGGAAAACUGAGUCUAAAUGGGAUGUGUGGAAAGCAGUUAUGUUAUUAAGCUUUUGACUUUACUUUAGUUCUCCGAGGUUUUUUUUGUCCAAUUUAAUUUUGACUCCCUUCUCUUUACUGCUCUUCAACAACCAAUAAACAUGCAAUGACAUAUACGCUAUAGCUAUACUAGAACUUCCAGCCUUCCAAGUUAUAGUUUCUUUAGCAAGCUAAAUCACAAUAAUGCUUUUUUUCUUGGUUCUUGACAUCUUGUUCUUGACAUUUUUCAUGCAGGUAAAAUAUUAUCUACUUUAA